Psammomys obesus (fat sand rat) is the source of this 1205-nucleotide long non-coding RNA. RefSeq lists it as uncharacterized. Lineage: Eukaryota; Metazoa; Chordata; Mammalia; Rodentia; Muridae. The record is from RefSeq and is a predicted model, not a curated record. The transcript is spliced from 4 exons.
UGCGGCGGGGCUAGCGGGGCCUGCGGCUACUUCCGGCUUCCGUUGUGCGGGCAGGGGCGGGGCUUGGCAUUCUCAGGGCGGCCCUCUGCCCCGGCGUCUCGGUGGUCCAAGAGUAGGAUGAUCCGCGCCAGCCAUGUGAUAGUCCGUUCUCGGCACAGCUCCACUUAUUCCGGUCACCGGGCGGGGAAGAUUUAGGGGGAAACCCUUCAGAAAUCCGGGUGACUCAUCUGUAAGUCCGCGCCGCGUGGGCUAAGAAUGGAGGCUCUGCAGAGGGAGUCUGCAGUCAGCCUGUUUCCCCAGCUGCGGGCAGCGCUAGACAUUGCACCCCUAGUAUAAAAAGAGGAUUGCCUCCUUGUGUCUCCAAAUAAGGAAACUGGGCUCUCAGUCCCCGAAGCCAUAAGAACUGACUCCAGCAGCCAUCUGAGAGAGACAGCACACAGGACAUAGGACUAUGUGACUUGCAAGUGGAUCAGCAGUGCACAGAGAGCCGUGAGCAUGCGAAGUGUGGGACUCUGGACACGCCAAGCAACAGUGUGUAAGGAAAGCACAGACUCACCUUCCAACUUAAAUCUGAUUCAAGCAGUGAACACGCUAUCCGAGACAGAGACUCAUAUGUAACUGAGAAUUCUCUUGAACUCCCGACCCCGGAAAGUGCCUGUCGUGGCACUGUUCAGCUCCAACAAACCUGCUGAGUACAGAACGGUGUUCAUUCAACAAAUAUGUAUUGAACACUUAGCUGGGCUGCUCAAGGACCUGUGGGCCUAGUGAUGACAAUUAAAAAAAAGACGAAACCUGUGUCCUUACACUGGUGACAUACUGAUGCCAACGAAAACAAGAAAGAAAGAAAGAAAGAAAGAAAGAAAGAAAGAAAGAAAGGAAGGAAGGAAGGAAGGAAGGAAGGAAGGAAGGAAGGAAGGAAGGUGAAUUUUAGAAUACUUUUUAGCCUAUGAUCCCAACGUUUGGAAGGCAGGGGUAGAUGGAUCUCUGUGAGCUUGAGGCUACCCUGCUUUAUUCAGUGAGCUCGAGGCCAGCCAGAGCUUCGUGGAGAGAGCCAGAUUAAGAAGCAGACCUAGGUCUUGUCUGGAAUAUGCGAAGCCUUGGGUUCAGUCCCCAGUACAACACAUACAUGCUAAAUAAAAACUAAAAAAAAUUAAAGGACAGGCAUGACGGGGCGCACCUUGAAUUCCAGCACUCUGAAAAAAAAA